UUUGCCUGGAUUGCUAGGGAUUGCAUUUAUUGUGAGGAAACUUCAAAAUACUUUGUUAUCAUACAAGCAAAAAAAUCAUAAACACAUUACUGCUAUAUGUUUUAUAUCAUACAAAGUUAAUAAAACUCUCUAUUCUCUUCAGUUUUCUAAAGGGAUGGCAUAGAAAACAGACGUUUUUUGCGUAGCAAAAGCAUAAAACUGAAGAUGGGAAUACUGAGUGACAGUCCUUUGUGACGCUGAGCAGCACGCCAGUGCUUAAAAUUUGGUCUUGAUCUUCAGAUGCCCUGCUCUGGCUUUCUAGGAUCUAGUCUGCACAGUUUCUAGGCUUCACUAAAGAAUUAGAAAUCUAUUGGAAAAGCAAGUUUUAAAGUCAAGCUCAACCUAAGUUGCCCCAAAUUGAAAAACUAUCAAUUAGGUUUUGUAUAUUCUUUUUAUUAACUGUGAAAUAAGGAAACUAUUAUUUCUAUAUCUUUAAUAGGAAGAUGUGAUGCUUAAUUCACUUAUAUGUUUCCAACACUUUGAAAUCUUCUGGUAGAAAAUGCUGUUAAUAUAUACAUUAUUAGAACUGUAAAUACAGAAUAUAUUCCAGCAUGUAUACAUACUAGUUGACUAUGUGCCUAAAUGUCCUAAUGAAGGCAGUAUUAGUGAAAUGGAUGUAUGUAAAUAUUUUAACAAUUGAAUUUUAAUAUGCACAUGUUUUUCCAUAACAUUUGCUCUUGCUGAACACAUUUACAGUCCUAUAAAAGAGGAUUCUUUCUCUUUUAAUUUAGAGAAACAUAUUUUUGAUCCAACUAAUAAUAAUUCAGGAAUAAGUGAAUAGAAAUAAUAAACAGAAAUAUAUAAAUCAAAAUUGUCAUUAAAUUGUUUCUGAAUUUUUGUACGCUGUGGUGCUUCCAAUAUAAUCUCAAGCUCUGCACAGACUGAGUAUGAAAGAGAAGGCAAAAGGAGUUAGAGAUACCUAGCCCACACUGAGGUAGGUUGUCUACACAGAGCUGUUACAGAAAACCGUCUUUCUCCAGAUAAGAGAAAGAAGUAUCAACACCACUUUAGAAAGGAGGAAAUGAAGGUAUCCCCAAGGUAAAUGUCUAGUUGACGCUCAAUAUGUUGUAAGUUACAUAACAGAAAAGGGAAUACUGCUUCCAUAAGGAUUUUUGAGGAUAUUCUUCAUAAACUGUUUAAAUCGCAGUUUUUAUGAUGCUGUUAUUAAAUACGUUCUUUUCUUCUGAAUUAUGCUUCAGGCUCUGAUACAUUCUUAGCUGAAGUCAGUGGGAGGACAUCUGAUCAGUUGGCUUAGUUCAGCAGGUUUUAUUUAUAAGCAUUUAUAGUAAAUACAUAAAAUAUCACUAAGGAGAGAUUUGGCAAACAAACACUAAAAAAAUAGUUACAUAAAUGAGUUCAGAAUGGUGAAUUAUAAUUUUCAUCAGAUGAAAGUAGCUUCCCAUAUAAAAUAUUUUCAAGACUUUCUCUUUGAAUCCCAGCCUCUGUCUUUACUUUUAUUUAUGGUUUCACUAAAAUGUUCAGGUAGAGAAAUACCUGCCCUCAUAAAUCAUUUGCAGAUAAUACUGGUUCAGACGCUUUGUGUCCAAAUUGAUAAUGGAUAUCUGAUUCAAAAGAAGUGUCUCAUUUCUUAAAGUUCUGUGGAGGAUGCUGGAAGAUGACAGAGCUAAAAAAAAAACCAAAAAACCCCAACCCUGCAAAACCCAACUUUUUUUUCCUUUCGUUUCUGUGAUUAUCUGAUGCUAGUUGCAGAAGUUGGCAAUGCAGUGAACUGCAUAAUCAUUCUCUGAUUUGUGUUUUUCUUUUUAGUCAAACUGCCUUGAGAAAGUAGGACUGAAAGUUUAUAUUAAGAGAUUUUUGCCAAAUUAAGGAAUACUAAACAGCAUAAAAAAACCAAAAAGGUCUUCCAGUUUGGAGCAGUGUGGAGUUCAUCCACUGCGUAUUGCUGUUAGAAACAGAAAAUGCACCUGAUUCCUCUUUUUCCAGUUAUUUAUGUGGAGAAAUUUUUUAGGGCAACUUACUAAAUUAUUUAUAAUGGUAUGUCUUUCUGCCCUUCUACCUCCCUUCCUGUGUUUACUCUUGCUGCUAUCUAUUCCCUUGCUUUUGUACUUUCAGUCUAAAUGGAUGUUGGACCAGCAAGUGUAAAUUGAGAUACCUGAUUGUCAUGGGAGAGAUUGAAUUUUGAGGAUUUUUUAACUUACCUUAUUGGCAUUUCUGUUGUGGAAGAGGUUUGGGCUGAAUUUUAACUUUGUGGUUUUCAUUUUAUUUCCUUAUUUGCCAAUAAUUUGUUUCCAAUGUACCAUCCACAGUGAUGAAGGGCUGUGCCGAGAGGGUAGUAGAACCUUUAUUGGCUAAGGAGAAGGAGGGCUGCUGGGGAGGGGGAGUGAAAGAAUCACUGGAAUAGUGUGUCAGGACUUUGGAGAACCCUGUACACCGUGGUCACGUGGUGCAUCAUGUAACACCAAAGUUAUAUAAACCGCAUCACACAAGUCUGAGUCCACACCCCCCAUCCCACAGUAAGUACCUGUCCCUUACGGAGACUCCCAUUGCCAGGUAACUGGAAUUAAAGGAUCUGUCAAGCAGAGGCACGAGUGGUGUUUGGGCUUCUGUCUGUUUUUGCAAAAAAGAUAAUCAUCUUUUCCCUGCCACUUUUGUCCACAGCGAUACAAUGCCAUGUGGCAGUAUAUUUAACAGAAGGAAAUCUGUGAUGCCAGGCUGCACGAGCUUUUCAGGACAGCCAAGGACAGGUCUAGGAUCUGGUCUGAUACUUUAAAAAUCUUUCCUGUAUUUGUGAAUUCACUGUAGAGUCUGUGUGUUAAAAUUAGAAUUGAACUUCAGUUAUGAUUUAGAUACAGUGCUUACUUAUUUUGCCUAUUUUGUCCUCCAGAGGCUCAAGCUUCUAUAGUUUUAUGCAUCUCUCAUGCAUAACAAAUUGAAAGUAUGUGUGUUGAUUUGCUGGAAAUGAGUCAUGCACUAAAAUCAUGCAGAUUCCUUUGUAUUCUUAUAACCACAAAACUCAUAUGAGCAGAGAUGAAAAGGUAGGUGGAGCUGGCAUUGAAAGAGGUGUUCUAAAUCUGAACAAGCUGUAUAAAAUAUCAUUGUCACAAAGGAAAACUGAAAAAUACAACAAAUACAACUUCAUGCAUUAGAAGCAUUUGCAUCACAGGUAAAUGUUGCCAUGUACUCUGAACUGUGCUUUCAUUUCCACAAGUCCCCUGUUGAAGAUACUCUGCGAAAUUUUCAGAAGCUCCCAUGUAUCUUAGGAGCCUGUGUCCCAAAGCUUCCUUAUGACACAGAGCUUUUUAAACUUUGACAUUGGUCUGUAAUUAGGGGUUGAGUCAAAAGUUACAUUUAAUUUAGAGAAAGGAGUAUUCCUUGAGCAAGAUCUUAAGCUGAUGUACAUCAGUGUAACACCAUUAACAUGCCUUGGCUUAGAUCUAGCUAUAGUUCUGAUUUGUACAAGCUGAUGAUUUAAUUCUGGACUCACAAAAACAGUGGUUGAGAAUAACCUUGUUGAACUACAAACUAGUGGUGUAUUGAUGAAUAGAAUGUGACACUGUUCAAAAAGGACAGUUGCAUCCUACAGUCAUGACUGUUAGGUGACAAUAACAAGACAAAUAGCGCCUGUGUGUUCCAGGCAGCAUUUUUCUCCUUUUUAUCUCUGAGUAGCUCCUUUCGAACCUCAAUCGACUUUUGAUUUGCGUAAGUGAAAAUGAGAAGGCCCGGUUGUCAUUGGUGAAAGUGCAGCAUUGUGUGUGAAUUACAGAAAAGCUCAAUUUGUUCACAUCCUUUUAGAAUUUAAGCAUAGUCUCUUAAUUUAUAAAAGCAUCCUUUUUUAUCAGAUUACCUGCAUGUUAUAGGAAAUGUUAGUUUUUUUAAGCAAUUAAAAUGAUUAUUGUUUUUAUGAUGGCUGAUGACUUUUACCAUUUGGUUAGCUCACUAAAUCUCAGUUGGAAUUAGAUUUAUGAAAUAAUGUCUCAUUUUCUGUAUCAAAUUAAAAGUCAUAUAAUUAGUUUGAAGAUGGUUUUUCCAACCUAUUUCCAUAUCAGGUGGUAUCAUUCUGUUUUCUAGGACUCAUUCUUUAUGACAAUGUUUGUUUUUCAUGGUAGAAAUAGUUUUACCAUGUAACAUUAGAAACUUUCUAAAAUUAUAGUGUGCUAUCUUGUUCAACUAUCUUUGCAAUUAUGAUACAGAUAUAUUGCAUCAGCAACUUUCUAAACAUAGUAUGCAGUGGUGACACGAGUUAAUUGAACAGUUAGGAGAUAAUGCAGUAUCAUUGACACGAUUUACUAUGUAAUUACCAUUGUUUCCAGUGGAGUUAUCAUGUCGCUACCACCUAAUAUCAUAUGUUAUUUUGUGAUAACUGUGAAAUUAACUUAUCAUCCUGUUUUGAGAGCCUAUGUUGGUCUUAGACCAACCACUCUCCACCAAAGUUAAAUACAGGAGAUCAGUAAUAGACUGACCUGCCCACCAGCUUUGGAGUGUGGCAAUUAAAUCAUAGGUCUUAUAUAAAAGCUUUGAAAGAAUAUGUUGCUAAAUUCAUUUCAGUGAGUGUCCUGAAUGGCUUAACUUCUAAAUAAGAUUUCUUGUUGCAAACAUUUAUCCAUCUGAGUGAAUCAGAAAGCGAUUUUACAACAUAAGGGAAAAUAUGAUGUAAUCCAUCAAAACACAGGAAAUAAAUUAAAAAUCAAUAUUUUUUCUAUUUCACUUUUUUGACAACAGGGGACAGGAGUGUUAACAGCAUGCGUUCUACACCUUCAGUUUCUUACUAAGUUAACCUUAUUAACUCAUUUCUUAACUUUCGUAAUUCAGUUACAAACUAUGUUUUUUGCAGUUACUAUUCAGGCCAUCUUUUGGUUGAAAUUUCAUCCAAGUGAAAACAUUCAGGCUUUUUGAGACAUUCCCAACGUAAAGGAAAUGUCAGUAAAAAGAGCUGAAGAACCUUGAUUGUCCCUUUUAAUUUAAGUAGAAAAAGAAUAUUCUGGAAAUAAAGUGUUCUCUCUUAUUUUACUUUGAUUUUUGGGGGGCAUAGGUUAUUGUGAAUACCUGUCUCUAGAUGAAAACUUUGAUAAGUAGUUCAGAAUCUAUAGCUUUCCUUCUCACUUUUUGCUUGUACAACUGAAACUGAAAAUGACAGUUAAUUUGGGUUCUGUUAUCUGCUGUACUAAUUAGAUAAAUGUUUGCAUGAACAUACGCCCUGUAUUCAUGCAUCUAAAAAUUAUCUUGAAGCAGUCAGUUUUGUGUUAAUUAGGCUCAGUCUCUUGUUUUUUUUCUUCAUUUUUUCAUUAGAAUUAAAUAUGUAGUAUGGUUUCAAUGUAAACAAAUAACUGUCCAUUUUAUUUUCUUAUUAGAGUGCUCCUUCUUGUUCCCAUAAUGUGUCUUUUUCCUCAUUGUUUCAGGAAAUGCAUUCGGGUUAACAGUCAAGAUAAAACAUUUGAGUUGUUAAACACAUAUGUAGGAGUAGCAAAAUAACCUGGAGGUUCUGGUAAAAUCUUCUGUCAUUUCUGGAAGCAAGCUUCUUGUUUGAUUUCAUGAAAUUGGUUAAAUUGUCUGCUUAUGACUAAAUCUGACUUUCUCACUACAGGACAGAUAAAAUAUGUGAGUAGUAAUUAGAAGGUCUCCAGAAUAUUGCACCCUGUUAUUAUCUGAUAUAACUUACUCUCUUGUCUUUUCAGUCAUUGAUGAUACUACUUAGUGCCAAACUCUGACUAAAAAUAUUCUCUAUUUUAUUCACUGUGAGUUUAAAAGGUGUGUUUCUUGCUUGCUCCUUACAUUGUGGGCUUGGUAAAUUUAUAUAGAAGUGUUGUGGAAUUUUAUGUAUGUCUUUCUGUAUGUGUUCCCCACUACCACUGCACCAAGCGUGCUGACAUGCUUUCUUGAUAGUACGCAAUUGCAUACUUGAGUAUAGGUUUGCUGAAUGAGCAUUGUACAGUAACAACAACCAUGCUGCUGUGUUGGAGAUUAAUAUUAAAGAAAAAAGAGAGAGCAAGAGUACCAAGGCAAGAGUACUAAAUGUCAGGAUAGAGUCAACAGCGUUUUGUGGCUAUGAAGAAAAAAAUUAUUUUAGCAGUUUUGCACUAACAUGUUAACCUUUCCUUUCUGGAUACAUUAGGUAAGAAAAAGCUUUAAGCGGACUGUAGUGCCUUUCUUCCAAAGUGCAGGAUUUUCUCUCCACAUCAGUUUUAGAUGGUAUCUGCGAUCAAAGGGACAUAUACUGUUCAUACGCUUCCUCUGUACUUCAGAACUAGAGGUGACCUGGAGGGUGUAUAAGUGCCCUUGUGUGGUUGCCUGGAAACUUUGGCCCACACAAGUGUCAACUUUCUUUCAUGGUUAUAAAGGAAGACUGAGCCUCACAGAGAGCUUUAGUCUUAGAGAAAAAAGGUCCUUGUGUGUUUUAAAACAAGUGUCUCACUAGGAGAUAAUGGUAGAGCAGUGGGUUAUAAAUGAUGUAUUUUGUUCACUUCGCCUUGAUAAUGGCACAAGGGAAAAAAAGUUCAUCGCUCUCUUAUCAAAAUACUGUGACAUUUCUCCUUCAACUGUAAAAUUUCCUAUCACAUUCCUCUGCUGCAACAGCAACUAAAUUUACUCGAUUGUAAAGACUACAUAAUCUCUCAUCAAAAGGUGUCUUUUGUAUUCUUUCUUUUCUCCCUAUUCAUAUUUUAGGAGAAUCACCAAGGUUGCUAAAAUCACUGUUUCUCCAGUGAAAUAAAUUUGCUUUUAAGGAGUUUAUAUAUUAGCUAGUAACUGCUAUACUAUGCCAUGUAGGCUGUUACUCUAUCUUGACCAAAGGCAGUAUGCCAUUUUCUUUUGUCAUAUCUUUUUAUACUGACUACAUUCUUUAUUGAUGAUGUUCUAUUUUUAAUGAAGAAAAACAUAAAUAAAGGCAAUAACUAAUGGCUAAAGACCAAAAACACUGAAAAGCAGUUGGGCUUCUUUCUUGAGUGGCAACUGAUUUUCAGUAAGUACAGAUUCCUGUUUGAUACGAGUGACAUUUUUGUUCUUACAAACAAAUAUUGCUCUAUAACAUGUACAGCUUAUGAAAGCAUAGAUGUAUAUAUUCUUCUCUGUAGAACAUGAAAGUUUGUGUUUGCCAUCUCCCCAAAGUAUGGUUCUCAAAAUACAUAUCUUUAUAGUUUGUAAGGUUACAGUUCCCUCAGAUGGAAAUGUCUGUGCAAAUGCUGCUUGGGGCCUGUUUCCUAUAUGCCUGUUCAAAGCAAACUGACGUAAAUGGAAAGUGACAUCAGUGCAUUUUGGAUAACUUACAUCUUUGUCUGAUGCAGGCUACCAAUAUACUACUACAUCUAGUAGAUUAUAUUUCAUCUGCAUGAGUUAGUGUGAAACAAAGAUACAGCCACUUAUAAAACUGUGGAAAACUGUAACCACAAGGGAUUUUUCUGUCUGCAUAACUGUAAUGACAAAAAUCAUAAAAUAAAAUGUUUACAUUCAAAGUAUAUGUCCAUUUGCAUUUUAAGACUUAGUUUUUAUUGUAAUCAUAGUAAGUGUAUUGAAAAAUCAGUAAGGAAAUUCUUAAAUUUGUAAACUAGUUCAACCAUGCAUUUUUUUCUUCCCAUUCAAAGUUUCUAUUACGGUUAUAUCAAUGAAAAUUGUAAAACCAUAGCAUAUUGCUAUAAAUAAAUUAAAUAUUAGCAAAUAUAAAUAGCAAUGGUAAAAUGCAUAGGUAAAUCUCAAGAUGGAAACACGACUGAGAGAAAAUCACAGCUUAGCGUGCAUGGAGAGGGUAGCUUACAGUCCAAACUGCAGGCACAAAAAUGUUUUGUUUCUUCUAACAGAGCAAAUAUUGAAGAACCGUUAUAAUGCUAAUAGUAUGAUUGACUCCUUAUAAUGGAUCCUGCUCAGAGUUAUAAUGUUCUCAGAAUUAAUCUCCAGAGACAUCUAGGGGAUAUAUGACAUUCCCUGCAGGACUUGGAAAUGUGUACUUCAAUAAUAGAUUUAUAAUGAUAAAUAAAAAAAAUUAAAAAAAAGUACUCUAAUUAUGUGAAACUGCCCCAAUCCCAAAUGACAGUGCAGAUAAAAUCCAUAUGUAUGUGUUACUGUAUUCUGUGUGUAUUCUAUUUCCACCAAUUGUGAUUUUUUCACAUUUUAGAAAAGAGUUUGCUAUUCACUGAAUUGUCCUUUGGAAGAAAUUAAAAGUGGAGCAAUACAGGGAUAAGAAUAUUUUAUGACAUGUAUGAUGGCAGGGUGAAACUGAGCAUAAGUGAGAUUUCAUUUGAUAUUACAUACUUCUCUUUCAUGUUCACAUGAUAGAACAAUAGAUAUUGUUAAUAUCUGAAUAGAAAGAACAUCAAUAAAUUUUAGAAGAUACAUUGUCUUUAAUCAUACUCUUUUGAAACAUAAGCUUAUGGAUGGACUGUUUGUGAAGAGUAAGACAAUGUUUUCAUAUUUUUGAAGAGAAAGAACAACCAUCUUUUGCAUUUGAGGAAUUGUAUGUUUUUAUGCAAACUGUACUUUUAUUAAUUAACAGUACAACUCAAGAAAUGCUUUUGGUUCUAAAAUUACUUUUACAUUCUUAUGAGUUGAAAUUGUAAGAUUACAUAGUAACUGAGUUUUUAUUUGAGUUGGAAAGGUUAGUGAAAGUUGUUGGCGUACCUAAGAAAUCUCCCAUUGCUUUGCACAAGUAGCCUUUGUUUUGCAGGACUAGGAUCAGUGGUGCAAUGUGUUCAAAUAUUAAUCUAUAAUUACAUGAUGAGAUCAUCUGGAAAUUUUGUACACAUGGGAUUGUGCAAAUUUACAGUGAGGAAAAGAGGCCUGCCAUAGGCCUACCAAGUUUACCUACAGCCCUAACAUAUGAGACAAAAAUCUACAAAUCAUUUUUCAUUUGAAAAUCACAAAAAAAUCUUGAAAUGAGUUUAUACUUCCUGCAAAUUGGACAAAGUAUCUUAACUUCUACAGCUGCAAUAUUUGAUUGCCAUCUCCAGGCUAUGUAGUGUGGAGGAGAAUGGGGGAAGCUCAAACAGUCGCAUUCUGGAAUAUCGAAAACAUGAGCUUUAUCACGCUUAAUAAAGACAUGUCAUAAGUGACAAAGUGCAGAAAUCUUCAAAUCAGAAGUAAAAGUUUGUGGUAGAUGUAGCAGCCUCAUAGCCUUGCUGUGUGAUGUUUCCUGAUUGUACAACAGCUACUUAAGUGAUCUUUGAUUCCAGUUGCCAAAAUUGAAACAGGGACUAAAUCUAAGUAAACUAUGACACUUGUGACAAAUCAGUGGCAUUAAACAUGGUUCAAGGAUUUGGCAGAGAACCCAAAACUCGUAAUACAAUAGAUGGCAUGUCAGAAUAGCUUUGGCUUAGCCUGCCAAAUGCAUAGCUGAAUGAGAGCAGAAAACAGGUGUCACCAAGAGGAAAGAGGUAGGUCCUUUUCAUGAACAGAUAUGCCUAGAUAUGCCUAAAUGUAGAUUGAUCAGUAUAUUGUUACACUGCAUGUAGUGAUGUUAUGUAUUUCAAGUGGUUGAGACCCCAAAAAGAAUAAUCUGUAGGGCAUUCUUACCAGGGUAUGUAUGAAGGAAACCCAUCGAUUUGGCACUGCGAGCUGCAGAAAAUAUGUUGCGUCAAUCUUUCAAAGACUAUAUAAUCUCUUCAUUUGUCUGACUGUUCAACACAAAGUGGCGAUUUAAAGAUAGAAUUUGCUUUAUUAUUUGGGUCUGGCAGUCUAACUAUUUUUAUUUGCCACUACAGCAGCUGAUGGUCCCAAGAAUAUGAAAAACAUGAGACUGUAGAAAUGCAUUUAACAGUGGAAAGCUUUUGCUUCUGGAACCUCACUUUCUAUACUGGCUCUUUAUGAAACAAAUUUCUUAGCCUUCGUAGCAAGGCAUCAAAUUUCUAUCUCUCUUUUACAAAAAUAAUUUGUUUUAGGGCUUAUAUUAUUUUUUCCAGUGAUCUGUAAAAAGUGUACAAUGGCUAGAGACUAUAUUGUGGGUAUUUUUAUGAUGAAGCAAUGAAGGAAGAUGACAAAUCUUGCCAGGUAAAAAUAAUUAUUUUUUCCUGCUAGAGCUAUAAAAUUCAUGAGUGAAUGCUAAAAAAGAUGUUUAAAUUUCAGUAAAAUAUUUGAUGAAGUCUUCUACACAAUCUUAUUCUUAAACUCAUCAAAUCUAACUGCUUGGACAUGAAAACUCCAUACAGGUUAAAAUUGGCCAUGGUACUCUAAAUACCGGGCAAUCUCUACAGUUUUUCAAAAUUGUUAUGGAGAAGCGAGUUGCUUGUUGCCAAAACUGAUUGUGAUAUUGAAGGUAGGAAUGAAGAGGAUAUUAAUGAAAAUUUGGAAGUAAUCGCAAAGGCCAUUGAAAGAAGUCAUGCAAAGAUACUUAGAAUGGCUAACUGUGAAAGGAAAAAUUACCGUGGAAAAACAUAAAAUAAUCCAUCUAGAGAAAAACUUUUGAAAAUAUUAACGUUGAAAAAGAAGAAAUUACACAUGUAUUUGUUACGGAUUUUGAGCUGAAUAAGGGGAAAGAUGAUGCUUAUUCAUAUUUGAGUUGCAUACAGUUUUACUAGAAUUUUUAGGUCUAUUUGCUGUCAAGUGGAUGCACAUGGUGAAUUGCAUUUUAAUAGCAUAUUUUUAUAUCAAACGCUAAUACAGUGGAGGACUUUAAGAAAAAAAUAACAAAAAUAAGGAAGAUAAAGAAAAGAAUUUCUAAAGGUUGUACAUACAGUGCACAGUAUAUUGACCAAGUACUGAGUGUAUUAAGUAAAAUUAGCUAUUACUUAAAUUAUUUUUCGCUAUUAUCUAUAACAGAACUCUUCAUUUCUUGAUCUCUGACAAACAAGUUAGUGGCCUACCAGCAGUGAGCACCAUUACCUUGGCCUCAGAAAAUCUUUUCACAUUAAAAAGCUGCUGAUGAACCCUACAUCUGGUACUUCACACAAGACUGAUGAUUUGCUCUGGGGCGUAAGAGUGUAUGCAGCUUUGGAGCCAUGUUCUCUAGUAUAAAAUAGUCCUAUGUGCAGAUGAAUGAAGGGGAGUUUUUAAAACUUGCCGUUUUUCUCUGCUCUGCCAGCCUAGCUCGGCAGGAAGAGAGAGAGCAGGAACAGGACACAGCCUCAAAAAUGGGAUGCAAGGAAAGUACUAGAGGAGAUAAAUUUGGAUUUGCAGCUGAGUGAACCAGGAGUCUGGAGCAUGAAAACCUUGUGAGGUUGGAGACUGGGGGUAGGUGACCUUGAACAAUGCAAAGGAAGUGUUCGUAAGGCAAAUAUUCUCACACCCUGAGGGUGGCCCAGUUGCAAGGUCUUUGGUAAUACUGGGGUAAUUAAAGUGAUGCUGAUCUCUGGUGUCCUGCUAAUCUAGGAUUCUCUGAUACUGGCUGGGUGGAAACCAGGAGAGAAGUCUGGGAAGGUGGGAUUUGAACUGAAGGAGAAGAGAAAAGAAAAAACCAGAAGAGCUUUGCAAAAGAAGGAAUGAUGCUCUGUAUAGUGGGAAGUGGGUAGGAACAUUUUGGUUUAUUGUAUAAAUAAAAGUUUGUGCUUGUAACAGUAAGGAGGUUUGAUUGUAAGAGGUGUGUUUUGUUGAGAGAAGCAACAUCAGGUGCAGUAAGAAGAGAAGGGAACAUAUAGGAAAAGGAGCCAGGAAAUGCAGGAACACACACCUCUUAUUCCUGCUUAGUGUGUGUACAAUAACAUGCAUAUAUGUGCACACACGCACACUCCCAAUGAAGAGGAGAAAAGUUACUGGGACCCCCACUAAGUUGCUCCUUUCUUCCUCUGACACUUCCUUUCAUAUGGUUGUAAUAUGGGGAUAUGGAGCUGAGGCAGGGUCAGAUAGCCCAUAUAACCCUUCUUUUCAUCCUCCUUUCUGGGUGGGGGGCCCUGGUCUCUGAUUUACAAUGUAAUCAUGUUUUCUAAUUAAUAAUGUGCAGCACAGGAGAAAGAAAAUCACUUACCAUGGAAAAAUUAUGUUAUAAAUUUAGGGGUUUCGAAGUAUGAACAUGCUGUUGUGGGAUUACAAUUUCCAUACAUUGUCUAACCCUUGAUAACUCUCCUUUAGUGUAUUUUAGAUCAUGAUAUUCAGAAUGAUUUGAUUCAGCUUAGUCCUUUGACCAACAUUAAUUUAACCAACCUAUAUUUCCCUUCUACAAGUUACAAGCAUCAAACACAUCACAUAUCAGCAUGUAGUGCCUUUAGCAAAGAGAUUUAAAACCUCAAAAAUGUCAUUGUGCACAGGAGGUGUGCAGGGUGGAUGAGAUAAAAUAAUUGGUAGCAACUCUUCUUUAUAGGUAAGCGAAGGCCAACACAGCAAUUUAAACCCUUGAGCCCUCAGGCAGAACCCAAGGAAAUGUUCUGUUAGCAAUGCCUUUUGGUAAGUGAGUAGUAUAAAUGAACUCCGGUAUGGUCUUUUUUGGUGUAAUUGUUAUGACUGUAAACAUAUGGGAAAGGAGAGAAAGCAGUAAUAUAAAAAACAUAAUGACUGGAAUUUAUUGACAUUUUUUCUUUUAAAAUAUUUCACACGUUGAAUGUUGCACAGUAAAGUGGAACAUAGGAAAUACAUCAUUGAUUAUGUUAUUGUAAAUCAUUUGCAGGUGAGAGAUAUUUUGUAUUAUUACUUGUGCAGAGUCCAACACUCAUGAGAUAAAAAGGCCAAAUUGGAAUUUCACUUGAUGGAGUCCUGCACAACAGAUACCCUCCUAUCUGGGGUUGCCAGUAAUGCAGCAGAAAUGCCAAAAUGAGAGGUAUUAGUUAGAAAACUCACAGCAGCCUGCUUUUCUGGAACUGGACAAGAUGAAUCAGACCUAGUGCAAGAGAAAAGUCAAGCUUGCAUAAAGAGGGGCUGAAGAUUGUCAGAGCCCACAAUCAUCCUAAAAUAUUCCAGAGAAAAUCAUUACAGAAUUUUGUGAAAAUCUCUUUUUUCUUGUUUUUGGAAGAACAUAGUGACUGUUAAAAUUUACUUUUGCAAAUUCAAGUCCUUCAAAAACAUGUUUGUGGAAAGAAGGAAGUGAUUGCAUAGAUUACUUCAAGACACCUCAGUUUCAGUGGAAAUUAAAAAACUACUGAGAGAAGAUUAAGUGAUAAUUGGGUGAACAUUCUUUAAGAAUACUGCAAAAUUACACUGAACCAUCACACUGAACAUGCAGGGCCUAAUCCAUAACCUGCUGAGGUCAAUUAGAAUCUUGAUAUUAAUUUUCAUAGGUAUCAGAUUAACGUCAUCUUUAUUUUGUAGAAUUAUAUUAUGAUGGCUCUUUUUUUAACCUCAGACUUCCAUGCUUCUGUCUUCACACUUUUUGUAAAUCUCCCAAUAAUACUAGUUUUAAUAUGGUGUUCAAGUUCUAUUCCUCCCUGUGAGAAAUAUAUCUAUAAUACAAAUAGAAGAUGUUAAAAGAUUAUCUGAAGGUGAUGUUCUCAUAGCCAAAAUAUUCUUUCCAAAAUUCAAGUUGUGUCUGAUGGAAAUAUUUAGUUGUUUGACUCUAAAUUAUUUAAAUAAACAUCUGGUGUUAAUAA
Long non-coding RNA from Dromaius novaehollandiae (emu), 13430 nucleotides. RefSeq lists it as uncharacterized. The transcript has 3 exons. NCBI's taxonomy places the organism in Eukaryota, Metazoa, Chordata, Aves, Casuariiformes, Dromaiidae. The record is from RefSeq and is a predicted model, not a curated record.